Molecule: RNA transcript, 1703 nt
Organism: Apis mellifera (honey bee)
Lineage: Eukaryota; Metazoa; Arthropoda; Insecta; Hymenoptera; Apidae
Gene name: protein Wnt-11b
Exons: 6
Source: RefSeq, a predicted model, not a curated record
GAAUGAUCUGAAAAUAAGUAAAGUUUGGUUUUUAUAUUUAUAUAUAUAUUUAUUGGAAAGAGUAGUGCGAAUAUUUUGUAGAAUUCAUGAUGGAUAUAUCAAAGGUACCGCGAUUGUACGUGAAACGAUCGACCGAUCAUCGAGAGAAACACAGUGGACCCUGAAGAAAAACGUGAUAUCGCGUGUGAAGAUAGAAAGUCUGAAGAACAUUGAAAAAUUCAUGAAACAAAAGUUCUUAUGCGUCAACGACGGGGAAGAAUGCCGAUCUUCUAGAAUGUAAAGUGACAUGAAGAUGACGAUAAUAAAGAGAAGCAGUGCUAAAGCUUGGCUGCUCUUGCUGCUGUUGCUGAUUCACGAUGGCAGGUGCAUCAAGUGGCUAGCUCUUGGCCGUACCGAAGAUGGGUAUACAUGGACAAGGGAGGCUUGCACAAGCGCGAAAAAUUCUGGGCUUUUGGAGAGAAAGCAGGCAAGAGCGUGCAGAGCUACGCCAGAUGUAAUGCCCAGCUUGGUACAAGCGGCGAGGGAUACUUCAACAGUAUGUCAGCAAACAUUUCGACACCGGAGAUGGAAUUGUAGUAGCAUCGAGCGUGCACCAGAUUAUACGCCUGAAUUACUUACUGGAACCAGGGAACAAGCAUUCGUGUAUGCAAUGUCAGCAGCAGCUGCAGUUUGGAGGUUAGCGAGAGGAUGCGCUCUGGGCAGCCUUGCGGCGUGUUCCUGUGCCACACCACCACGAAGAGAGCCUCCAUCACCCUCUGCCUUGAUCUCACCUUCAUCUUUCACCGCGACAUCUGUCUCGUUUGGAACAUUGUCCGCCAGAAACUCUUUCAAAUGGGGCGGUUGCGGCGAUGACGUUAGAUCGGCGUCCAGAAUGGCCAAGAGGUUCCUCCAAGGCGCGACGCCUCCAGGCACAGGUGCAACCGCGAAGUUUAUGCACGCUGUUAACAUGCACAACAACCGAGCGGGUCGAAGGGCAGUGGAACAAUCCUUGACUCUUGAAUGCAAGUGUCACGGGGUGUCUGGAUCGUGCAGUGUACGUACCUGUUGGAGAGGGCUUGGUUCUUCAGGGCCGGCAGCAGCAGGAAGUCGUUUGCUUCGAAGAUAUGCGACUGCAGCAGAAGUACGACCAAGGUCAGGAGGCAGAUUACCACCCUUGUAUCAUCACGAUAAUCUAUUAUAUACCACAAAAAGUCCAGACUAUUGUCUCCCCGACAAGAAGAGGGGAAGUCUUGGAACUGUUGGCAGACAAUGUAACGGGAGCAGUACCGGAUACGAAGGUUGCGAGUAUCUGUGUUGCAGCCGGGGACACGUGACGAGAACGGAAGAGGUUUUAGAGAGAUGCGAUUGCAAAUAUAUCAGUUGUUGUUACGUAAAGUGUAAAACGUGCAGAAAAGUUAUGAAAACGUACGAGUGCAAAUGAAUAAAAAUGAAGGGGAUUCCUGGAGAGAUUUUAGAAUGAAGAAAAAUUAUUAUCGAAAUUCAUCUCUCCAUCGCUUUUUAACCAUAUUGGGAUUCCCCGUAAGCGAUAAAAUUCUCCCUUCCGUUUUAAACGAAUAGGAAAAUUUCAAUCAAAGAGGACAGCAUAGACGGCAUGUUAGAUAUAAGAUGGCAUGGUUAGUCGCUAUGUAAAUAAUUCGCUAAAUCCGAAUUCGUAGUUUGUAUUAAAAAUCAUGUUCUAAUAAUAAAUCAUCACUUGAUAUAGA